UCUAUUCUCCAAAGCUAAUUCUUGGAAAAAGACUGAAACAGGUGAGAUUAUUUGUUAUUUUAUACAAUUUACUUUCAUAAUGUGUUGUUUCUUUGUAAUAGUAAGGUUAAUUUUUUUUACUAUAUGUCUACAUCUAGCAUUCUAGAUUCUACUUCUGUAGUAUCCACUAUUAUCAGGCGCGCCCCCGGCGCACCACCUCACAAAGGCGCACCAAGGCGUACUGAGGGGCAAGGCGCACCGAGGCGCGCCCCAGUGAGUUAAGGUGCUGGAUAUAUAAGCUAGGGUUUUUUUUUUUUUUAAACUUGUCCAGCAGCCAGCAAAAAGAAAAAAAGAAUAAG
RNAcentral lists this unclassified non-coding RNA (338 nucleotides) under Hevea brasiliensis (rubber tree). The record is from RNAcentral. Lineage: Eukaryota; Viridiplantae; Streptophyta; Magnoliopsida; Malpighiales; Euphorbiaceae.